RNAcentral lists this ribosomal RNA (488 nucleotides) under uncultured bacterium. Its description in RNAcentral is "bacterial SSU rRNA". It matches the Rfam family "Bacterial small subunit ribosomal RNA", at positions 30 to 507 of the family's 1533-position model. The record is from RNAcentral.
UGAACGCUAGCUACAGGCUUAACACAUGCAAGUCGAGGGGCAGCAUGAACAUAGCUUGCUAUGUUUGAUGGCGACCGGCGCACGGGUGCGUAACACGUAUCCAAUCUACCCAUGGCUCGGGGAUAGCCUUUCGAAAGAAAGAUUAAUACCCGAUGGUCUCGGUUUAAGGCAUCUUAGACUGAGUAAAGAUUUAUCGGCGAUGGAUGAGGAUGCGUCUGAUUAGGUAGAUGGCGGGGUAACGGCCCACCUAGUCUACGAUGUCUAGGGGUUCUGAGAGGAAGGUCCCCCACACUGGAACUGAGACACGGUCCAGACUCCUACGGGAGGCAGCAGUGAGGAAUAUUGGUCAAUGGGCGCAAGCCUGAACCAGCCAAGUAGCGUGAAGGAUGACUGCCCUACGGGUUGUAAACUUCUUUUGUUUGGGAAUAAAUGAUACUACGUGUAGUAUUUUGCAUGUACCUUACGAAUAAGCAUCGGCUAAUUCCGUG